This 453-nucleotide ribosomal RNA is filed under the name uncultured bacterium. RNAcentral's name for it is "bacterial SSU rRNA". It matches the Rfam family "Bacterial small subunit ribosomal RNA", at positions 12 to 513 of the family's 1533-position model. The record is from RNAcentral.
UUUGAUCAUGGCUCAGAACGAACGCUGGCGGCAGGCUUAACACAUGCAAGUCGAGCGCCCCGCAAGGGGAGCGGCAGACGGGUGAGUAACGCGUGGGAAUCUACCCAUCUCUACGGAAUAACGCAUGGAAACGUGUGCUAAUACCGUAUACGUCCUUCGGGAGAAAGAUUUAUCGGAGAUGGAUGAGCCCGCGUUGGAUUAGCUAGUUGGUGGGGUAAAGGCCUACCAAGGCGACGAUCCAUAGCUGGUCUGAGAGGAUGAUCAGCCACACUGGGACUGAGACACGGCCCAGACUCCUACGGGAGGCAGCAGUGGGGAAUAUUGGACAAUGGGCGCAAGCCUGAUCCAGCCAUGCCGCGUGAGUGAUGAAGGCCCUAGGGUUGUAAAGCUCUUUCACCGGUGAAGAUAAUGACGGUAACCGGAGAAGAAGCCCCGGCUAACUUCGUGCCAGCA